This 466-nucleotide ribosomal RNA is filed under the name uncultured bacterium. Its description in RNAcentral is "partial 16S ribosomal RNA". It matches the Rfam family "Bacterial small subunit ribosomal RNA", at positions 32 to 526 of the family's 1533-position model. The record is from RNAcentral.
GAAAAACGCAAGUGACGUGCCUAACACAUGCAAAUUUAAUAGUUAUUUUUUAACUAUAGUGAAUUGGUGAGUAAUAUAUGAAAAUUUAAUUUUAGAUUAGAAAUAUUCCUAAUAACUUAGGGUUAAUUUCUGAUAAGCGCAUUUGUGCUUUAAAAAGUUAAUACUGUCUAAAAAAAAGUUCAUAUCUGAUUAGCUAGUUAGUAAGGUAAUAGCUUACUAAGGCGAAGAUCAGUAGCUGCCCUGAGAGGGGGAUCAGCCACAUUGGGAUUGAAAUACAGCCCAAACUCCUACGGGAGGCAGCAGUGGGGAAUAUUGCACAAUGGGCGCAAGCCUGAUGCAGCGACGCCGCGUGGGGGAUGAAGGCCUUCGGGUUGUAAACUCCUUUCGCCAUUGACGAAGCCCUUUGGGGUGACGGUAGGUGGAGAAGAAGCACCGGCUAACUACGUGCCAGCCGCCGCAGUAAAAC